This 80-nucleotide small nucleolar RNA is filed under the name Trypanosoma cruzi. Its description in RNAcentral is "C/D small nucleolar RNA (snoRNA), TB8C3C2". The record is from RNAcentral. Lineage: Eukaryota; Euglenozoa; Kinetoplastea; Trypanosomatida; Trypanosomatidae.
GCGGCGUGAUUACAAACCGGACGUCUGAAGGCCAACCGACCGCAGAGUCGAUGUGGACCCUUGUCCCCCGUGGCUGAGUG